Molecule: ribosomal RNA, 424 nt
Filed under: uncultured bacterium
Lineage: Bacteria
Description: partial 16S ribosomal RNA
Rfam family: Bacterial small subunit ribosomal RNA
Source: RNAcentral
AAUUUUGGACAAUGGGCGCAAGCCUGAUCCAGCCAUGCCGCGUAAGUAAAGAAGGCCUUCGGGUUGUAAAGCUCUUUCGGACGGAAAGAAAUCGCGCAGGCUAAUACCCUUCGCAGAAGACGACACCGUAAUAACAACCACCGACUCCCUACGUGCCAGCAGCCGCGGUAAUACGUAGGGUGCGAGCGUUAAUCGGAAUUACUGGACGGAAGGCGUGCGCAGGCGGUUGAUUAAGACAGGCGUGAUAUCACCGGGCUUAACCUGGGAACUGCGCUUGUGACUGGACAGCUAGAGUACGGCAGAGGAGGGUGGAAUUCCACGUGUAGCAGUGAAAUGCGUAGAGAUGUGGAGGAACACCGAUGGCGAAGGCAGCCCCCUGGGCCGAUACUGACGCUCAUGCACGAAAGCGUGGGUAGCAAACAGG